AUCCUGGCUCAGGAUGAACGCUAGCGGCAGGCCUAAUACAUGCAAGUCGAACGGGAUUUGGGAGCUUGCUCCUGAUGAGAGUGGCGCACGGGUGCGUAACACGUAUGUAACCUACCUUGAUCUGGGGGAUAGCCUCUCGAAAGAGAGAUUAACACCGCAUAACAUUACUGAACAGCAUUUUUCGGUAAUCAAAUAUUUAUAGGAUCAAGAUGGGCAUGCGGAACAUUAGCUAGUUGGUAAGGUAAUGGCUUACCAAGGCUACGAUGUUUAGGGGAUCUGAGAGGAUGACCCCCCACACUGGUACUGAGACACGGACCAGACUCCUACGGGAGGCAGCAGUAAGGAAUAUUGGUCAAUGGGCGCAAGCCUGGACCAGCCAUGCCGCGUGCAGGAAGACGGCCCUACGGGUUGUAAACUGCUUUUGUACCGGAAUAAACCCUGAUAUGUAUAUCAGGCUGAAUGUACGGUAAGAAUAAGGAUCGGCUAACUCCGUG
This 494-nucleotide ribosomal RNA is filed under the name uncultured Mucilaginibacter sp. RNAcentral describes it as "bacterial SSU rRNA". It matches the Rfam family "Bacterial small subunit ribosomal RNA", at positions 16 to 507 of the family's 1533-position model. Lineage: Bacteria; Pseudomonadati; Bacteroidota; Sphingobacteriia; Sphingobacteriales; Sphingobacteriaceae. The record is from RNAcentral.